GAAAGUAAAAAAGGGCGCAUGGCGGAUGCCUUGGCUCUCGGAGGCGAUGAAGGACGUGAUAAGCUGCGAUAAGCUUUGGGGAGGUGCAAAUGACCUUUGAUCCAGAGAUUUCCGAAUGGGACAACCCAAUAUCUUGAAGAGGUAUUAUCUUACUAUGUAAGAGGCUAACGCAGGGAACUGAAACAUCUUAGUACCUGCAGGAAAAGAAAAUAAACAAUGAUUCCCCCAGUAGUGGCGAGCGAACGGGGAACAGCCCAAACCAUCCAUGUUACGGCAUGGGUGGGGUUGUAGGACUACGCCGUUGCAUGAAGACAUCAGAGAAGAACUUUCUGGAAAGAAAGACCAUAGAGCAUGACAGUUGCGUAUUCGAAUGUUGUCGAAGCAUAGUAGUAUCCUGAGUAGCGCGGAGCACGAGGAAUUCUGCGUGAAUCUGCCGGGACCAUCCGGUAAGGCUAAAUACUCCCGAGAGACCGAUAGCGAACCAGUACCGUGAGGGAAAGGUGAAAAGCACUUCGAACAGAAGAGUGAAAUAGUUCCUGAAACCGUGCGCCUACAAGCGGUCGGAGCUCGUUAAUGAGUGACGGCGUGCCUUUUGCAUAAUGAACCUACGAGUUGCCUUUGCCGGCAAGGUUAAGUGUGACGACACACGUAUCCGAAGCGAAAGCGAGUCUGAACAGGGCGUAUAGUCGGCAGUGGCAGACGCGAAACCAAGUGAUCUACCCUUGGCCAGGUUGAAGGCUGGGUAACACCAGCUGGAGGACCGCACCAAUAAGCGUUGAAAAGCUUCUGGAUGAGCUGAGGGUAGGGGUGAAAGGCUAAUCAAACUUGGAGAUAGCUCGUACUCCCCGAAAUGCAUUUAGGUGCAGCCUUGCGGGUUACUGAUGUGAGGUAGAGCGACUGAUAAGAUGCGAGGGCUUCACCGCCUAUCAAGUCUUGACAAACUCCGAAUGCGCAUCAGUUCUACCGCAGGAGUGAGGGCAUGGGUGCUAAGGUCCGUGCCCGAGAGGAGAAGAAUCCGGACCACCUGCUAAGGUCCCGAAAUGACAGCUAAGUUAAACUAACGAAGUCUGACUGCUAAGACAGCUAGGAUGUUGGCUUGGAAGCAGCCAUUCAUUUAAAGAGUGCGUAACAGCUCACUAGUCGAGGAGUCGGGCGUGGAUAAUAAUCGGGUAUCAAGUUGUCUACCGAAGCAGUGGGAUCAUUUAUAUGAUCGGUAGGGGAGCAUUCCAGUCGGCGUCGAAGGCGUACCGUGAGGUAUUCUGGAGCGUCUGGAAAAGCAAAUGUAGGUAUAAGUAACGAUAAAGGGGGCGGGAAACCCCCUCGCCGAAAGACUAAGGUUUCCUGAUCAACGCUAAUCGGAUCAGGGUCAGUCGGGUCCUAAGGCUCAGCCGAACGGCGAUGCCGAUGGCAGAAACGGUUAAUAUUCCGUUACUACCUUCAGGAGUGACGUGGAGACGCAGUAGUGACAGUGCCGCCAUCUGACGGAAUAGAUGGUUGAAGGGUGUAGGAGUCGAUCAUGGCAGGCAAAUCCACCAUGAGAUCCGAACCUGACAGUAUGCCGCGUCCUUCGGGACAAGGCAAUAGUGCGCGUAAGCAUGCUGCCGAGAAAAUCCGCUAAACUUAAUCCUGCAGGUACCCGUACCGCAAACGGACACACGUAGUCGGGAUGAAUAUUCUAAGGCGCUUGAGUGAUUCACGGUUAAGGAACUAGGCAAACUGACCCUGUAACUUCGGGAUAAAGGGUCCCUACCCUUUUAUGGGAGGGCGCAGAGAAUCGGUCCAGGCAACUGUUUAACAAAAACACAGGGCUGUGCCAAAUCGAAAGAUCCAGUAUACAGCCUGACACCUGCCCGGUGCUGGAAGGUUAAGAGGAGAUGUCAUCGAUAAGAGAAGCGUUGAAUUGAAGCCCCAGUAAACGGCGGCCGUAACUAUAACGGUCCUAAGGUAGCGAAAUUCCUUGUCGGGUAAGUUCCGACCUGCACGAAUGGUGUAAUGAUCUGGACACUGUCUCAACCGUGAGCUCAGUGAAAUUGUAGUAUCGGUGAAGAUGCCGAUUACCCGCGAUGGGACGAAAAGACCCCGUGAACCUUUACUAUAGCUUAUCAUUGAAUCUGGGCACGUGAUGUGUAGGAUAGGUCGGAGGCUUUGAAGCAGGUACGCCAGUAUUUGUGGAGCCGCUGUUGAAAUACGACCCUUUAUUUGUUUGGAUUCUAACCCGUGGAUACGGGGACAUUGAUUGGUGGGUAGUUUGACUGGGGUGGUCGCCUCCAAAAGCGUAACGGAGGCUUCUAAAGGUGCCCUCCGGCCGAUUGGUAACCGGCCUUAGAGUGUAAUGGCAUAAGGGCGCUUGACUGGGAGACUGACAAGUCGAUCAGGUAGGAAACUAGAGCAUAGUGAUCCGGUGUUUCCGUAUGGAAGGGACAUCGCUCAAAGGAUAAAAGGUACUCCGGGGAUAACAGGCUGAUCCCUCCCA
Molecule: ribosomal RNA, 2473 nt
Filed under: human gut metagenome
Description: bacterial LSU rRNA
Rfam family: Bacterial large subunit ribosomal RNA
Source: RNAcentral